UGGCGUAAUGAUGGCCAGGCUGUCUCCACCCGAGACUCAGUGAAAUUGAACUCGCUGUGAAGAUGCAGUGUACCCGCGGCAAGACGGAAAGACCCCGUGAACCUUUACUAUAGCUUGACACUGAACAUUGAGCCUUGAUGUGUAGGAUAGGUGGGAGGCAACGAAGUGUGGACGCCAGUCUGCACGGAGCCAUCCUUGAAAUACCACCCUUUAACGUUUGAUGUUCUAACCCGGGUCCAUAAUCUGGAUCGGGGACCGUGUCUGGUGGGUAGUUUGACUGGGGCGGUCUCCUCCCAAAGAGUAACGGAGGAGCACGAAGGUUGGCUAAGCAUGGUCGGACAUCAUGCGGUUAGUGCAAAGGCAUAAGCCAGCUUGACUGCGAGAGUGACGGCUCGAGCAGGUACGAAAGUAGGUCUUAGUGAUCCGGUGGUUCUGAAUGGAAGGGCCAUCGCUCAACGGAUAAAAGGUACUCCGGGGAUAACAGGCUGAUACCGCCCAAGAGUUCAUAUCGACGGCGGUGUUUGGCACCUCGAUGUCGGCUCA
This 543-nucleotide ribosomal RNA is filed under the name Morganella morganii. Its description in RNAcentral is "partial 23S ribosomal RNA". It matches the Rfam family "Bacterial large subunit ribosomal RNA", at positions 1997 to 2539 of the family's 2925-position model. Lineage: Bacteria; Pseudomonadati; Pseudomonadota; Gammaproteobacteria; Enterobacterales; Morganellaceae. The record is from RNAcentral.